Molecule: ribosomal RNA, 497 nt
Filed under: uncultured bacterium
Lineage: Bacteria
Description: partial 16S ribosomal RNA
Rfam family: Bacterial small subunit ribosomal RNA
Source: RNAcentral
GAUGAACGCUGGCGGCGUGCCUAAUACAUGCAAGUCGAGCGAACAGACGAGGAGCUUGCUCCUCUGACGUUAGCGGCGGACGGGUGAGUAACACGUGGAUAACCUACCUAUAAGACUGGGAUAACUUCGGGAAACCGGAGCAAAUACCGGAUAAUAUAUUGAACCGCAUGGUUCAAUAGUGAAAGACGGUUUUGCUGUCACUUAUAGAUGGAUCCGCGCCGCAUUAGCUAGUUGGUAAGGUAACGGCUUACCAAGGCAACGAUGCGUAGCCGACCUGAGAGGGUGAUCGGCCACACUGGAACUGAGACACGGUCCAGACUCCUACGGGAGGCAGCAGUAGGGAAUCUUCCGCAAUGGGCGAAAGCCUGACGGAGCAACGCCGCGUGAGUGAUGAAGGUCUUCGGAUCGUAAAACUCUGUUAUUAGGGAAGAACAAAUGUGUAAGUAACAAUGCACGUCUUGACGGUACCUAAUCAGAAAGCCACGGCUAACUACGUG